This 465-nucleotide ribosomal RNA is filed under the name uncultured Plectonema sp. RNAcentral describes it as "bacterial LSU rRNA". It matches the Rfam family "Bacterial large subunit ribosomal RNA", at positions 537 to 1009 of the family's 2925-position model. Lineage: Bacteria; Bacillati; Cyanobacteriota; Cyanophyceae; Oscillatoriales; Microcoleaceae. The record is from RNAcentral.
AGUGAAAUAGAACAUGAAACCGUGAGCUUACAAGCAAUUAGAGCACGAUUAAACGUGUGAUAGUGUGCCUGUUGAAGAAUGAGCCGGCGACUUAUAGGGUCUGGCAGAUUAAGCGGUAAUACGCGAAGUCAAAGGGAAACCGAGUCUUAAUAGGGCGUUAGUCAGAUUUUAUAGACCCGAACCCAGGUGAUCUAACCAUGUCCAGGAUGAAGCUUGGGUAACACUAAGUGGAGGUCCGAACCGACUUCUGUUGAAAAGGAGCGGAUGAGGUGUGGUUAGGGGUGAAAUGCCAAUCGAACCUGGAGCUAGCUGGUUCUCCUCGAAAUGUGUUUAGGCGCAGCGGCAUUGAUUAUAGCCGGGGGUAAAGCACUGAUUCUGCGGGCUGCGAGAGCGGUACCAAACCGAGGCAAACUCUGAAUACUAAACUGGUACUCGGCCAGUCAGACGGUGGGGAUAAGCUUCAUC